Molecule: ribosomal RNA, 949 nt
Filed under: uncultured crenarchaeote
Lineage: Archaea; Thermoproteati; Thermoproteota
Description: bacterial SSU rRNA
Rfam family: Archaeal small subunit ribosomal RNA
Source: RNAcentral
AACUCCGCAAUACACGCAAGUGUGACGGGGCUACCCAAAGUGCUCCAUAUAGGAGCUGUGGUAGGUGCGUAAUGUUCCCUACUAGAAAGGAGAGGGCAAGGCUGGUGCCAGCCGCCGCGGUAAAACCAGCUCUUCAAGUGGUCGGGAUAAUUAUUGGGCUUAAAGUGUCCGUAGCUGGUAAGGUAAGUUCCUGGUAAAAUUGGGCAGCUUAACUGUCCUUAUGCUAGGAAUACUGCUUUACUAGAGGGCGGGAGAGGUCUGAGGUACUACAGGGGUAGGAGUGAAAUCUUAUAAUCCUUGUAGGACCACCAGUGGCGAAGGCGUCAGACUGGAACGCGCCUGACGGUGAGGGACGAAAGCCAGGGGAGCGAACCGGAUUAGAUACCCGGGUAGUCCUGGCCGUAAACGAUGCACUCUAGAUGAUGGUGCGGCCAUGAGCCGUAUCAGUGUCGUAGGGAAACCGUUAAGUGUGCCGCCUGGGAAGUACGGUCGCAAGGCUUAAACUUAAAGGAAUUGGCGGGGGAGCACCACAAGGGGUGAAGCCUGCGGUUCAAUUGGACUCAACGCCGGGCAACUUACCAGGGGAGACAGCAGAAUGAAGGUCAGGUUGACGACCUUACCUAACAAGCUGAGAGGAGGUGCAUGGCCGUCGCCAGUUCGUGCUGUGAGGUAUCCUGUUAAGUCAGGCAACGAACGAGACCCGUGCCUUUAUUUGCCAUCAAGAAGUCACGACUUCGUUGGGAACGAUAAAGGGACUGCCGUCGAUAAGACGGAGGAAGGAGCGGGCAAAGGCAGGUCAGUAUGCCCCGAAACCCCUGGGCUACACGCGGGCUGCAAUGGUGCGAACAAUGGGCUGUGACUCCGACAGGAGAAACCAAUCCCGAAAUCGCAUCUCAGUUGGGAUUGUCAACUGUAACCCGUUGACAUGAACGUGGAAUCCCUAGUAAUC